CAGUCGCCGCGGGAAUGCGUAGGUGGCAAGCGUUGUCCGGAAUUAUUGGGCGUAAAGGGCUCGCAGGCGGUUUCUUAAGUCUGGUGUGAAAGCCCCCGGCUCAACCGGGGAGGGUCAUUGGAAACUGGGAAACUUGAGUGCAGAAGAGGAGAGUGGAAUUCCACGUGUAGCGGUGAAAUGCGUAGAGAUGUGGAGGAACACCAGUGGCGAAGGCGACUCUCUGGUCUGUAACUGACGCUGAGGAGCGAAAGCGUGGGGAGCGAACAGGAUUAGAUACCCCCGUAGUCCCUGUCUCUUAUAC
This 301-nucleotide ribosomal RNA is filed under the name uncultured bacterium. RNAcentral describes it as "partial 16S ribosomal RNA". It matches the Rfam family "Bacterial small subunit ribosomal RNA", at positions 509 to 807 of the family's 1533-position model. The record is from RNAcentral.